This 107-nucleotide small nuclear RNA is filed under the name Myotis davidii. Lineage: Eukaryota; Metazoa; Chordata; Mammalia; Chiroptera; Vespertilionidae. The record is from RNAcentral.
GUGCUUGCUUCAGCAGCACAUAUACUAAAAUUGGAACGAUGCAGAGAAGAUUAGCAUGGCCCCUGUGCAAAGAUGACACGCAAAUUCGUGAAGCAUUCCAUAUAAAA